This 247-nucleotide ribosomal RNA is filed under the name uncultured archaeon. Its description in RNAcentral is "partial 16S ribosomal RNA". It matches the Rfam family "Archaeal small subunit ribosomal RNA", at positions 691 to 937 of the family's 1478-position model. The record is from RNAcentral.
CCGACGGUGAGAGGCGAAAGCUGGGGGAGCAAACCGGAUUAGAUACCCUGGUAGUCCCAGCUGUAAACGAUGCGCGUUAGGUGUGUCAGUGACCACGUGUCACUGAUGUGCCGAAGGGAAACCGUGAAACGCGCCGCCUGGGGAGUACGGUCGCAAGGCUGAAACCUAAAGGAAUUGGCGGGGGAGCACCACAACGGGUGGAGCCUGCGGUUUAAUCGGACUCAACGCCGGAAAUCUCACCGGAUAA